UACGUGGGCCCCCAAGCGUUAUCCGGAAUUACUGGGCGUAAAGAGUGCGUAGGCGGUUAUGUUAGUCCUCUGUUUAAUCCUUCGGCUCAACCGGAGAACUGCAGAGGAAACGGCAUGACUGGAGUGUGUGAGAGGUUUGCGGAACUCAUGGUGUAGGGGUGAAAUCCGUUGAUAUCAUGGGGAACACCAAAUGCGAAGGCAGCAAACUGGCACAUUACUGACGCUGAGGCACGAAAGCGUGGGUAGCGAAUGGGAUUAGAAACCCGUAGUAGU
This 273-nucleotide ribosomal RNA is filed under the name uncultured bacterium. Its description in RNAcentral is "partial 16S ribosomal RNA". It matches the Rfam family "Bacterial small subunit ribosomal RNA", at positions 524 to 794 of the family's 1533-position model. The record is from RNAcentral.